GAUGAAGAACGUAGCGAAAUGCGAUAAGUAAUGUGAAUUGCAGAAUUCAGUGAAUCAUCGAAUCUUUGAACGCACAUUGCGCCCGCCAGUAUUCUGGCGGGCAUGCCUGUUCGAGCGUCAUUUCAACCCUCAAGCCCCCGGGCUUGGUGUUGGGGAUCGGCAAAACGGCCUCGCCAGAGGACGCGCCGGCCCCUAAAUCUAGUGGCGGUCUCGCUGCAGCCUCCAUUGCGUAGUAGCUAACACCUCGCAACUGGAACGCGGCGCGGCCAAGCCGUUAAACCCCCCAACUUUUUCUGAAUGUUGACCUCGGAUCAGGUAGGAAUACCCGCUGAACUUAAGCAUAUCAAUAAGCGGAGGA
Molecule: unclassified non-coding RNA, 358 nt
Filed under: soil metagenome
Description: partial contains 5.8S ribosomal RNA, internal transcribed spacer 2, and large subunit ribosomal RNA
Rfam family: 5.8S ribosomal RNA (bases 1-120)
Source: RNAcentral